GAUGAACGCUGGCGGCGUGCCUAAUACAUGCAAGUCGAGCGAACGGACGAGAAGCUUGCUUCUCUGAUGUUAGCGGCGGACGGGUGAGUAACACGUGGAUAACCUACCUAUAAGACUGGGAUAACUUCGGGAAACCGGAGCUAAUACCGGAUAAUAUUUUGAACCGCAUGGUUCAAAAGUGAAAGACGGUCUUGCUGUCACUUAUAGAUGGAUCCGCGCUGCAUUAGCUAGUUGGUAAGGUAGCGGCUUACCAAGGCAACGAUGCAUAGCCGACCUGAGAGGGUGAUCGGCCACACUGGAACUGAGACACGGUCCAGACUCCUACGGGAGGCAGCAGUAGGGAAUCUUCCGCAAUGGGCGAAAGCCUGACGGAGCAACGCCGCGUGAGUGAUGAAGGUCUUCGGAUCGUAAAACUCUGUUAUUAGGGAAGAACAUAUGUGUAAGUAACUGUGCACAUCUUGACGGUACCUAAUCAGAAAGCCACGGCUAACUACGUGCCAGCAGCCGCGGUAAUACGUAGGUGGCAAGCGUUAUCCGGAAUUAUUGGGCGUAAAGCGCGCGUAGGCGGUUUUUUAAGUCUGAUGUGAAAGCCCACGGCUCAACCGUGGAGGGUCAUUGGAAACUGGAAAACUUGAGUGCAGAAGAGGAAAGUGGAAUUCCAUGUGUAGCGGUGAAAUGCGCAGAGAUAUGGAGGAACACCAGUGGCGAAGGCGACUUUCUGGUCUGUAACUGACGCUGAUGUGCGAAAGCGUGGGGAUCAAACAGGAUUAGAUACCCUGGUAGUCCACGCCGUAAACGAUGAGUGCUAAGUGUUAGGGGGUUUCCGCCCCUUAGUGCUGCAGCUAACGCAUUAAGCACUCCGCCUGGGGAGUACGACCGCAAGGUUGAAACUCAAAGGAAUUGACGGGGACCCGCACAAGCGGUGGAGCAUGUGGUUUAAUUCGAAGCAACGCGAAGAACCUUACCAAAUCUUGACAUCCUUUGACAACUCUAGAGAUAGAGCUUUCCCCUUCGGGGGACAAAGUGACAGGUGGUGCAUGGUUGUCGUCAGCUCGUGUCGUGAGAUGUUGGGUUAAGUCCCGCAACGAGCGCAACCCUUAAGCUUAGUUGCCAUCAUUAAGUUGGGCACUCUAAGUUGACUGCCGGUGACAAACCGGAGGAAGGUGGGGAUGACGUCAAAUCAUCAUGCCCCUUAUGAUUUGGGCUACACACGUGCUACAAUGGACAAUACAAAGGGCAGCGAAACCGUGAGGUCAAGCAAAUCCCAUAAAGUUGUUCUCAGUUCGGAUUGUAGUCUGCAACUCGACUACAUGAAGCUGGAAUCGCUAGUAAUCGUAGAUCAGCAUGCUACGGUGAAUACGUUCCCGGGUCU
Molecule: ribosomal RNA, 1372 nt
Filed under: uncultured bacterium
Lineage: Bacteria
Description: bacterial SSU rRNA
Rfam family: Bacterial small subunit ribosomal RNA
Source: RNAcentral